Molecule: ribosomal RNA, 684 nt
Filed under: uncultured bacterium
Lineage: Bacteria
Description: bacterial SSU rRNA
Rfam family: Bacterial small subunit ribosomal RNA
Source: RNAcentral
GAAAGGAAGAUUAAUACCCCAUAAUAUAAUGAUUGGCAUCAAUUAUUAUUGAAAACUCCGGUGGAUAGAGAUGGGCACGCGCAAGAUUAGAUAGUUGGUGAGGUAACGGCUCACCAAGUCAAUGAUCUUUAGGGGUCCUGAGAGGGAGAUCCCCCACACUGGUACUGAGACACGGACCAGACUCCUACGGGAGGCAGCAGUGAGGAAUAUUGGACAAUGGGUGAGAGCCUGAUCCAGCCAUCCCGCGUGAAGGAAGACGGUCCUAUGGAUUGUAAACUUCUUUUGUACAGGGAUAAACCUACUCUCGUGAGGGUAGCUGAAGGUACUGUACGAAUAAGCACCGGCUAACUCCGUGCCGGCAGCCGCGGUAAUACGGAGGGUGCAAGCGUUAUCCGGAUUUAUUGGGUUUAAAGGGUCCGUAGGCGGACUUGUAAGUCAGUGGUGAAAUCUCAUAGCUUAACUAUGAAACUGCCAUUGAUACUGCAGGUCUUGAGUAAAUUUGAAGUGGCUGGAAUAAGUAGUGUAGCGGUGAAAUGCAUAGAUAUUACUUAGAACACCAAUUGCGAAGGCAGGUCACUAAGAUUUAACUGACGCUGAUGGACGAAAGCGUGGGUAGCGAACAGGAUUAGAUACCCUGGUAGUCCACGCCGUAAACGAUGCUAACUCGUUUUUGGAUUUUUAAGA